GCCACCGCGGGCCCUGCCCUUGCCCCUGCCCGUGGGCAUCCCCGCCCCGUGUCCGGACCGGACCGGACCAGCCCGGAGAGGGCGAGGAGCCGUCUGAGCAGAGGAGCGGCCCGGGAUGGUGGCCCUGACCGCGCCGGGAGAGCGGGCGUGGGCCCAGCGGCCGGCUGACGGCCUCCCGGAGCGUCCGGAGCAGCGGGCCAGGGAGAGCGGACGGCCCGGAGCGGGGACCCCCGCAGCGUGAUGUGCCCGGGACCCCCGACGCGGAACGCCGGCCCGCCGCCACCCUGAGCGAGUCCCAUGCGCCAGCCGCGGGCGGACCCGUCG
This is a long non-coding RNA of Tachyglossus aculeatus (Australian echidna), 324 nucleotides long. RefSeq lists it as uncharacterized. The transcript is spliced from 3 exons. Lineage: Eukaryota; Metazoa; Chordata; Mammalia; Monotremata; Tachyglossidae. The record is from RefSeq and is a predicted model, not a curated record.